UACAGAGGGGGCAAGCGUUAUUCGGAAUUAUUGGGCGUAAAGGGCGCGUAGGCGGCUUUGCAAGUGACGGGUGAAAUCCCUCGGCUUAACCUGGGAACUGCGUCUGAUACUGGGAGGCUUGAGUAUGGGAGAGGGAUGUAGAAUUCCAGGUGUAGCGGUGAAAUGCGUAGAUAUCUGGAGGAAUACCGGUGGCGAAGGCGGCAUCCUGGACCAUAACUGACGCUGAGGCGCGAAAGCGUGGGGAGCGAACAGG
RNAcentral lists this ribosomal RNA (253 nucleotides) under uncultured bacterium. Its description in RNAcentral is "partial 16S ribosomal RNA". It matches the Rfam family "Bacterial small subunit ribosomal RNA", at positions 524 to 776 of the family's 1533-position model. The record is from RNAcentral.